Molecule: non-coding RNA, 21 nt
Filed under: Caenorhabditis elegans
Lineage: Eukaryota; Metazoa; Nematoda; Chromadorea; Rhabditida; Rhabditidae
Source: RNAcentral
UCAUGAUUCGCCUCCAAGUUU